GAGUUUGAUCAUGGCUCAGGACGAACGCUGGCGGCGUGCCUAAUACAUGCAAGUCGAACGCACGAAGUUGAAAAGCUUGCUUUUCGACCAAGUGAGUGGCGGACGGGUGAGUAACACGUGGGUAACCUGCCCAUAAGAGGGGGAUAACAUUCGGAAACGGAUGCUAAUACCGCAUAUUUCAAGUGACCGCAUGGUCGCUUGAUGAAAGGUGGCUUCGGCUACCACUUAUGGAUGGACCCGCGGUGCAUUAGUUAGUUGGUGAGGUAAUGGCUCACCAAGACCAUGAUGCAUAGCCGACCUGAGAGGGUGAUCGGCCACAUUGGGACUGAGACACGGCCCAAACUCCUACGGGAGGCAGCAGUAGGGAAUCUUCGGCAAUGGACGAAAGUCUGACCGAGCAACGCCGCGUGAGCGAAGAAGGCC
RNAcentral lists this ribosomal RNA (423 nucleotides) under uncultured Bacillus sp. RNAcentral's name for it is "bacterial SSU rRNA". It matches the Rfam family "Bacterial small subunit ribosomal RNA", at positions 9 to 416 of the family's 1533-position model. Lineage: Bacteria; Bacillati; Bacillota; Bacilli; Caryophanales; Bacillaceae. The record is from RNAcentral.